UGUGAACUCGAAGAGUAGGGCGGGACACGUGGUAUCCUGUCUGAAUAUGGGGGGACCAUCCUCCAAGGCUAAAUACUCCUGACUGACCGAUAGUGAACCAGUACCGUGAGGGAAAGGCGAAAAGAACCCCGGCGAGGGGAGUGAAAAAGAACCUGAAACCGUGUACGUACAAGCAGUGGGAGCACCUUCGGGUGUGACUGCGUACCUUUUGUAUAAUGGGUCAGCGACUUAUAUUCUGUAGCAAGGUUAACCGUAUAGGGGAGCCGCAGGGAAACCGAGUCUUAACUGGGCGUUAAGUUGCAGGGUAUAGACCCGAAACCCGGUGAUCUAGCCAUGGGCAGGUUGAAGGUUGGGUAACACUAACUGGAGGACCGAACCGACUAAUGUUGAAAAAUUAGCGGAUGACUUGUGGCUGGGGGUGAAAGGCCAAUCAAACCGGGAGAUAGCUGGUUCUCCCCGAAAGCUAUUUAGGUAGCGCCUCGUGAAUUCAUCUUCGGGGGUAGAGCACUGUUUCGGCUAGGGGGUCAUCCCGACUUACCAACCCGAUGCAAACUACGAAUACCGAAGAAUGUUAUCACGGGAGACACACGGCGGGUGCUAACGUCCGUCGUGAAGAGGGAAACAACCCAGACCGCCAGCUAAGGUCCCAAAGUCAUGGUUAAGUGGGAAACGAUGUGGGAAGGCACAGACAGCCAGGAUGUUGGCUUAGAAGCAGCCAUCAUUUAAAGAAAGCGUAAUAGCUCACUGGUCGAGUCGGCCUGCGCGGAAGAUGUAACGGGGCUAAACCAUGCACCGAAGCUGCGGCAGCGACACUAUGUGUUGUUGGGUAGGGGAGCGUUCUGUAAGCCUGCGAAGGUGUGCUGUGAGGCAUGCUGGAGGUAUCAGAAGUGCGAAUGCUGACAUAAGUAACGAUAAAGCGGGUGAAAAGCCCGCUCGCCGGAAGACCAAGGGUUCCUGUCCAACGUUAAUCGGGGCAGGGUGAGUCGACCCCUAAGGCGAGGCCGAAAGGCGUAGUCGAUGGGAAACAGGUUAAUAUUCCUGUACUUGGUGUUACUGCGAAGGGGGGACGGAGAAGGCUAUGUUAGCCGGGCGACGGUUGUCCCGGUUUAAGCAUGUAGGCUGGUUGUCCAGGCAAAUCCGGAUAAUCAAGGCUGAGGUGUGAUGACGAGGCACUACGGUGCUGAAGUAACAAAUGCCCUGCUUCCAGGAAAAGCCUCUAAGCAUCAGGUAACAUUAAAUCGUACCCCA
This 1248-nucleotide ribosomal RNA is filed under the name Klebsiella pneumoniae. Its description in RNAcentral is "partial 23S ribosomal RNA". It matches the Rfam family "Bacterial large subunit ribosomal RNA", at positions 398 to 1651 of the family's 2925-position model. The record is from RNAcentral. Lineage: Bacteria; Pseudomonadati; Pseudomonadota; Gammaproteobacteria; Enterobacterales; Enterobacteriaceae.